GGCUGGAAGGAAAAUGAGUGAAUCUUUGGUGGUUUGUGAUGUUGCUGAAGAUUUAGUGGAAAAGCUGAGAAAGUUUCGUUUUCACAAAGAAACAAACAAUGCUGCCAUUAUAAUGAAGAUUGACAAGGAUAAACGCUUGGUAGUACUGGACGAGGAGCUUGAGGGCAUUUCACCUGAUGAACUUAAAGAUGAACUACCUGAACGACAACCUUGACCUUCAUUGUGUAUAGUUAUAAAUACCAACAUGAUGAUGGAAGAGUUUCAUAUCCUUUGUGCUUUAUUUUCUCCAGUCCUGUUAGAUGUAACAGAUGAUGUAUUCUGGGAGUAAGAAUAAACUAGUCCAAACAGCUGAACUAACCAAGGUAUUUGAAAUAAGGAAUACUGAAGACCUAACUGAAGAAUGGCUAGAUGAGAAACUUGGAUUUUUCCACUAAUGUGAGCUUCUGUGUUUCUAAAGUAUUUAUGUGUUAACCUGACCAUACUGGAACCAGACAUAAAUACUUAUUUAUGCCUAAAAAUGCACUGCUAUUUACAGUUUGUUUCCUGCAGUAAAGAAAUAUCUUCAUUUGUGCAAAGUUUGAAAAAGAGGAAAUUAUCUUCAUAGUAAUGAAACUUUGUAAAGUGUUUCCUUAUAUUUGUAAUUGUUAGGUGGACUA
Chrysochloris asiatica (Cape golden mole) is the source of this 656-nucleotide RNA transcript. It is a transcript of the gene named glia maturation factor, beta pseudogene, with no coding region annotated. The transcript has a single exon. Lineage: Eukaryota; Metazoa; Chordata; Mammalia; Afrosoricida; Chrysochloridae. The record is from RefSeq and is a predicted model, not a curated record.